Molecule: long non-coding RNA, 214 nt
Filed under: Elaeis guineensis (African oil palm)
Lineage: Eukaryota; Viridiplantae; Streptophyta; Magnoliopsida; Arecales; Arecaceae
Description: long non-coding RNA (EGUI_LNC034330)
Source: RNAcentral
CCACCUAACAUCUGAAGAUGAAAUUCCCAACAAAAUUUGAAGUCAGUGAAGUUCAUGGAGAUCAAGUCCUAGUGCGACAGUGCUAUAACAUCGCACUUCAUGAUACAGAACUUCUGAAGCUUAUCCAAUAGACAGACUAGACACCCGGUAUCAGCUGUCUGAAGAACAAGAGAAGCUGAUGGAGGAACUAGAGACGAUCCCACUCAAUGAUGGC